UUUUAAAAACAUGUUUGUGAGAAAAAAUUAAAAGUAGAAUUGUUAUAUAAUCCAGUAAUUCUACUUCUCAGUAUAUAUUCAAAAGAAUUAAAAGCAGGAAUUCAAACAUGUACCACCAUGUCCAUAGCAGCAUUAUACACAAUAGCCAAGAUACAGAAUCAACUUCAGUGUCUAUCAACAAAUAAAUGGAUAAACAUAAUGUGGUAUAUACAUAUGAAACCGUGCCCCAAAGACUUAAGGAAACCAAUGGCCAAAUUCUUAGGUUUACAGGAUAGUAGAUAAGAGAAGAAACAAUAUGCUGAGAUGCCUAAACUCAAACUCUGCCCCCAAAGAGUAAGAAAACAGUAACUAACAAAAAUUCUUGAGUUUACAGGACAACAGAAAAGAAACAGCCUGGUCAGACACUGAAACUCCCUCUGCUUGUGAGAUCAAAAAGAACCUGGGCCAGGUGAAGUGGCUCAUACCUGUAAUUCCAGCACUUCGGGAGGCUGAGGCAGGAGGAUUGCUUGAGCCUAGGAGUUUGAGUCCAGCCUUGGCAACAUAGCAAGACCCUGUCCAGCUAUUCAGGAGGCGGAGGCAGGAGAAUCACUUGAACCCAGGAGGUGGAAGUUGCAGUGGGCCAAGACGACACUACUGUACUCCAGCUUGGACCACAGAACACGACAGUCUUUAAACAAAUAAAUAAAAUAAAAUAAAUAAA
This 700-nucleotide long non-coding RNA is filed under the name Homo sapiens (human). Its description in RNAcentral is "HSALNT0372771". The record is from RNAcentral. Lineage: Eukaryota; Metazoa; Chordata; Mammalia; Primates; Hominidae.